GGGGGCGAAAAGGGUUCGACGGAGGUAAUUGAGGCUGGAAUGGCAUGCCGAGGUCCUGUCUGCUCGUUAAACAGAUGGGGACUCAAAUAACCGGAACUGACUACGGUUACGCCUACGCCUAACUGAGGCGUAGCGUCCCCUCGGUUUUCUCCUGUGGGACCGAAAGGGAUGUCAACUUAACAGGAUAGUUUCUCCUCCGACGCUUAUAGGGGGAGGGGCGAACUCUCAUAAGCUAGCACCUCGAAGAUCCUGCUCGUGGGAGUUUUGAGGUGUGAAUUCAAAACACGGGAUAAGCAUGUAGAUGCUCCAGAGGAAUGCCUUCGGACGCGGGUUCGAUUCCCGCCGCCUCCACCA
RNAcentral lists this transfer-messenger RNA (354 nucleotides) under Pseudomonadota bacterium. RNAcentral's name for it is "Proteobacteria bacterium (marine sediment metagenome) transfer-messenger RNA". It matches the Rfam family "transfer-messenger RNA". From Rfam's summary of the family: Bacterial tmRNA, also known as 10Sa RNA or SsrA, is named for its dual tRNA and mRNA-like properties. The record is from RNAcentral. Lineage: Bacteria; Pseudomonadati; Pseudomonadota.